AUGAAGAUAAUAGCUUGGAACUGCCGGGGGCUUGGGAACCCGCCGGCAGUUCAUAGCCUUCUGAAGUUCCAGAGGGCGGAAGGGCCUGAUAUUAUAUUCCUCUCCGAAACGAAGAUGAAGGCGAAGGAGAUAGAGUUCUUGAGGUGUUGUUUGAAUAUGGUGAACAUGGUGGUGGUGGAUAGUGUUGGAUGGAGUGGGGGUUUGGCGCUGUUCUGGAGGAGAGGGGUGGAUGUAAGUUUGAGGUGGAAGGGACGUUACCAUAUAGAUGUUGAUGUGGUGGAAGAGAAUGGGAGUAAGUGGCGGUUGACGGGUGUGUACGGAGAAUCUAAAGCAGGUGAAAAAGAGAACACUUGGAGGCUUCUUAGAACGUUGCAUGGACAGGCCGAUCUGCCAUGGCUUUGUCUAAGGGAUUUUAACGAGAUUUUAUUUGCGGGGGAGAACGAAGGAGGGCCGGCUCGGGGCCAGGGAUGCAUGGAUUCAUUGCCUGGAAUUCUGUGA
Molecule: ribosomal RNA, 498 nt
Filed under: Triticum aestivum (bread wheat)
Lineage: Eukaryota; Viridiplantae; Streptophyta; Magnoliopsida; Poales; Poaceae
Description: partial small subunit ribosomal RNA
Source: RNAcentral